CAGGAGCUGUCAGAGCUGUGUCCUGACAAGAUCCUACCUACGUUGCUUCUCUGGCGCUAGAGCUCUCCAGCUCUGCCCCUUACCCAGUCGUGCUAGCAGAUGUUCUCGAAAGUGAAGUCCCCGCAUCCUACGCGCUCCCCGCCACCCCAACGUCCCUCUCUCCUAGGCUCUGAGGGCUGCCCGCCGCCCCGCCCCUGCCGCUCGAACGCCUCUCCCUCAUAGGCCAGAGCUAUCCGUGGUGCCCGGCCCCCGCCGCCUGAAUGCGGCUCCCUCAUAGGCCGGAGCUCUCCCCACAGUCCCGCUCCGCGCACUGGUCCCGCCCCUGCGUCCAUUUAAAGAGUCUUCACACAUACCACCCAUCCCCUCCUUGCCGAGUGGCUUGUUUUGUGCGACGCUCCGUAGCUGCUCGUUUCCGCCCACGGCGCGGACUUCUUUAGGUAGAGGGACUUUUGGCCGCCUCGCCGGGCCCAGGCGACAGAGAAAAGAGCCAACGUGCGUGUGCUCCCUAGUGAGACCUCCAGAGGGAAGGGCAGCAGGCCGAGACCCACACAGAACAGAUUUGUACGUCCCCUCAGAAGAAUAUGCCCACACAAUUGAGCACGAGGUUCUGCAUCAAAUUUCAAGAGGUUCAGCUCAUUCUGCCAUGAAAUGUUUUUGACUAGAGGAAUGUUUUACCCAUUAACCCAAGCCCUUGCAAUAGUCAAGAAGGAAAGCCCUUCACUUCCUUUUUGCAACGUAAAGAGCUUGUUUUUAGUGGCAUAUUGCCAUCAUUGAAAUCAGUGACUUUAAUAAACAUUUUAAGUUGUUUGUUA
Long non-coding RNA from Leopardus geoffroyi (Geoffroy's cat), 812 nucleotides. RefSeq lists it as uncharacterized. The record is from RefSeq and is a predicted model, not a curated record. Lineage: Eukaryota; Metazoa; Chordata; Mammalia; Carnivora; Felidae. The transcript is spliced from 3 exons.